Paramisgurnus dabryanus is the source of this 1037-nucleotide non-coding RNA. Lineage: Eukaryota; Metazoa; Chordata; Actinopteri; Cypriniformes; Cobitidae. The record is from RefSeq and is a predicted model, not a curated record.
UUGCAAUUUCAACAUCAUAUCAUUGAACUUGCAUUAUAUAUUGAUUUUACAAAGUUAAUCCACAUAAAUUUGUUAGUGUUUAUAUUCAAACAACACACGUGACGGACGUGACUAAACCUCAUUGGUUCUUGGGAUUCAGUACGUCACAUUGGCUUCCUGAUGAUUCUGUUGUUCGAUACACAACGUGCGUGAUCGUUGGUAAAUGUGGAUUAAAAGUUGAAACUAAAACUGUUAAAUUAUAUAUAGUGAUCAUCAAAGGACUUGGCUGAAACAACGCGAUUCACAUGGAUUACUUCGGCGAUGUUUUUUAUUGUUGUUGCGAUUAACUUUUUGAAAUGUGAGCAGUUUUUAAGUAUCAAGUGGAUCUGACAUCGAGGGGAAAUAUACGUUUCUUGGAUUUCAUUAAAGUACAUCGGUUUUUGUUUAAAGAUGAAUGAGAGAACAUGAGGGUAAGUUCAGUGAUGACAGAUUUUUGCUUUUUAUUUUUAGUGAACUAUUAAAUAAGUAGAACAUUUAGUAUAACAGUAUGUCUUAAUUUUAACCCAGCUUCUUCAAGCGUGUAUGUUGUGUGGCUUUUGGAACAUAACGUUACAUUUUUUGUGAGUAAAGUUAGGCAUUUAAUUUCUCUUGUUGUAUUUCAGAAAUCAUAACAGCCUGUCUUUUUUAGCACAGCGGCAUUCAAAUUGACCAAUCAGAGCCGAGAAUAUCUAAUAAGUCGAAGUAGAGAUGAACAGAUGAAGAUACAGCCUGUAAAAAUACUUAUUCUUGGUGAGUGCCAUGUAGCGACGGAUCAAACGGACACUCAUGUCAAGCUUGAUGAGGACACAGUCAAAGCUUUAAAAGACCUUGUGAUUAAGUCUUCAGUGUCUGAAUGGCAAGAAGAAGUGACCCUCCACUUAAACGUGACAUUUAAACUGCUCUGUGUUUUGGUUCAGCCAUUUGUAGGUUUAUCUCGAGUAAGUUCAAAUGUACUUCUGCAUUUGUCCAGUAACUUUUUGUUUAGAGAAUUACAUCAUUAUGAUUAUAUAAUUAUUCAA